This is a long non-coding RNA of Myripristis murdjan (pinecone soldierfish), 491 nucleotides long. RefSeq lists it as uncharacterized. The record is from RefSeq and is a predicted model, not a curated record. The transcript is spliced from 3 exons. NCBI's taxonomy places the organism in Eukaryota, Metazoa, Chordata, Actinopteri, Holocentriformes, Holocentridae.
GCCUCUUGGCCCUCCAUGGCACCAGUUUGACACCCCUGGUUUACAGAGAUCUCAGGCCCAGCUAAAAGAGUGGCUGGCAGCAGAGUGGCCCACUGAAAGCAUCUCAGGUCUUAUAAACCUGAGGUCAACAUUUCGAAACUGUCCUCUGCUUGCAGCAAGGUUUGACCCAAAUGUCUGUCUUCCCAGGUGCAAAGAGAAGAUGCGGUUUCAGAGGCGCCUCUCUGGACUGAAGAACAGACUCAAAGGCUCAUACAAAUGUCAUCCUGUCUGAAACAGCACUAAAGACUCAUUACACUCAGCCCCAGACAGGCUAACAAAUGAGUUGUCAUACCACCGCAAGUGGAGCAGUUACCUUUAAUUUCUUUGUUGGGGUGCCAAAUAAAAAAAUACAAUAUCCAGAAGCACAUUGCCAACAACCUUCCCUUGAGUCUGGACAUUUUUUUUUUAUCAUCAUUUUUUAAUCACUGCUUUUGUGUUUUAUCACUGUGUAA